This 493-nucleotide ribosomal RNA is filed under the name uncultured bacterium. RNAcentral describes it as "partial 16S ribosomal RNA". It matches the Rfam family "Bacterial small subunit ribosomal RNA", at positions 28 to 507 of the family's 1533-position model. The record is from RNAcentral.
GACGAACGCUGGCGGCGUGCUUAACACAUGCAAGUCGAACGGAAAGGUCCCCAUCUUGGUGGGCGUGCGCUAGCGGCGAACGGGUGAGUAACACGUGGGUGAUCUGCCUUUUACUCUGGGAUAAGUUCGGGAAACCGGGUCUAAUACCGGAUAGGAUCAUGGUCUAGAGGCUCAUGUAGGAAAGAUUAGUUUUGUUGUGCAUGAUGAGCUCGCUCCCUAUCAGCUUGUUGGUUGGGAAAUUGCCGACCAAGGCAGGCAUGGGUAGCCGGCCGGCGUGGGAGGGUGGCCGCCCACGUUCGGACUGAGGUCCGGCCCACCCUCGGACGGGAGCCGGCGGUGGGGUAUCGUGAUCAAUGGGCGCCAGACUGAUGCAGCGCCGCCGCGUGGGGAAUGACGGCCUUCGGGUUGUAAAUUCCUUUCGUUAGGGACGAAGCCGCACUUUUCUUGGGUGUGGUGACGGUCCCUUUGUCAAGAAGCACCGGCUAACUACGUG